This 471-nucleotide ribosomal RNA is filed under the name uncultured bacterium. RNAcentral describes it as "bacterial SSU rRNA". It matches the Rfam family "Bacterial small subunit ribosomal RNA", at positions 329 to 793 of the family's 1533-position model. The record is from RNAcentral.
GCAGAGCAUCCUACGGGAGGCAGCAGUGGGGAAUAUUGCACAAUGGGCGCAAGCCUGAUGCAGCCAUGCCGCGUGUAUGAAGAAGGCCUUCGGGUUGUAAAGUACUUUCAGCAGUGAGGAAGGUGGAUAUGUUAAUAGCAUAUUCAUUUGACGUUAGCUGCAGAAGAAGCACCGGCUAACUCCGUGCCAGCAGCCGCGGUAAUACGGAGGGUGCGAGCGUUAAUCGGAAUUACUGGGCGUAAAGCGCAUGCAGGUGGUUUGUUAAGUCAGAUGUGAAAGCCCGGGGCUCAACCUCGGAAUUGCAUUUGAAACUGGCAAACUAGAGUACUGUAGAGGGGGUAGAAUUUCAGGUGUAGCGGUGAAAUGCGUAGAGAUCUGAAGGAAUACCGGUGGCGAAGGCGGCCCCCUGGACAGAUACUGACACUCAGAUGCGAAAGCGUGGGGAGCAAACAGGAUUAGAUAACCUGGUAG